RNAcentral lists this ribosomal RNA (254 nucleotides) under uncultured bacterium. RNAcentral's name for it is "partial 16S ribosomal RNA". It matches the Rfam family "Bacterial small subunit ribosomal RNA", at positions 524 to 776 of the family's 1533-position model. The record is from RNAcentral.
UACGUAGGGUGCGAGCGUUGUCCGGAAUUAUUGGGCGUAAAGAGCUCGUAGGCGGCUUGGCAAGUCGGGUGUGAAACCUCCAGGCUCAACCUGGAGACGCCACCCGAUACUGCCAUGGCUAGAGUCCGGUAGGGGACCACGGAAUUCCUAGUGUAGCGGUGAAAUGCGCAGAUAUCAGGAGGAACACCGGUGGCGAAGGCGGUGGUCUGGGCCGGAACUGACGCUGAGGAGCGAAAGCGUGGGGAGCGAACAGG